GAUGAACGCUGGCGGCAUGCCUAAUACAUGCAAGUCGAACGAGAGGAAGGAAAGCUUGCUUUUCUGAAUCUAGUGGCGAACGGGUGAGUAACACGUAGGUAACCUGCCCAUGUGCCCGGGAUAACUUCUGGAAACGGAUGCUAAAACCGGAUAGGUAGCAGACAAGCAUUUGACUGCUAUUAAAGUGGCUAAGGCCAUGAACAUGGAUGGACCUGCGGUGCAUUAGCUAGUUGGUGAGGUAACGGCCCACCAAGGCGACGAUGCAUAGCCGGCCUGAGAGGGCGGACGGCCACAUUGGGACUGAGACACGGCCCAAACUCCUACGGGAGGCAGCAGUAGGGAAUUUUCGUCAAUGGGGGGAACCCUGAACGAGCAAUGCCGCGUGAGUGAAGAAGGUCUUCGGAUCGUAAAGCUCUGUUGUAAGAGAAAAACGACAUUCAUAGGGAAUGAUGAGUGAGUGAUGGUAUCUUACCAGAAAGU
This 480-nucleotide ribosomal RNA is filed under the name uncultured bacterium. RNAcentral's name for it is "bacterial SSU rRNA". It matches the Rfam family "Bacterial small subunit ribosomal RNA", at positions 28 to 491 of the family's 1533-position model. The record is from RNAcentral.